GCUUAUUUAGCUCAGAUGGUAAAGCAUCUGCCUACAAUGCAGGAGACCUGGGUUCGAUCCCUGGGUCAGGA
RNAcentral lists this transfer RNA (71 nucleotides) under Bos taurus (domestic cattle). It matches the Rfam family "tRNA". Rfam says of the family: Transfer RNA (tRNA) molecules are approximately 80 nucleotides in length. Lineage: Eukaryota; Metazoa; Chordata; Mammalia; Artiodactyla; Bovidae. The record is from Rfam by way of RNAcentral. RNAcentral also lists the same sequence under 5 other names.